UACAGAGGUCUCAAGCGUUGUUCGGAUUCAUUGGGCGUAAAGGGUGCGUAGGUGGUGAUGCAAGUCUGGUGUGAAAUCUCGGAGCUCAACUCCGAAAUUGCACCGGAUACUGCGUGACUCGAGGACUGUAGAGGAGAUCGGAAUUCACGGUGUAGCAGUGAAAUGCGUAGAUAUCGUGAGGAAGACCAGUUGCGAAGGCGGAGCUCUGGGCAGUUCCUGACACUGAGGCACGAAGGCCAGGGGAGCAAACGGG
RNAcentral lists this ribosomal RNA (253 nucleotides) under uncultured bacterium. RNAcentral's name for it is "partial 16S ribosomal RNA". It matches the Rfam family "Bacterial small subunit ribosomal RNA", at positions 524 to 776 of the family's 1533-position model. The record is from RNAcentral.